AUACGGAGGACGCGAGCGUUAUCCGGAUUCAUUGGGUUUAAAGGGUGCGCAGGCGGCCGUGCAAGUCAGCGGUGAAAGCCCGGGGCUCAACCCCGGAAGUGCCGUUGAUACUGCAUGGCUGGAAUGCGGUCGAGGCGGGCGGAACGGGGCGUGUAGCGGGGAAAUGCGUAGAGAUGGCACAGAACGCCGAUAGCGGAGGCAGCUCGCCGGGCCUGCAUGGACGCGCGGGCACGAAAGCGUGGGGAUCGAACAGGAUUAGAUACCCUGGUGGUCCACGCCGUAAACGAUGGGCGCUCGUCGUCGGCGGCAGACAGUCGGCGGCCAAGCGAAAGCGAUAAGCGCCCCACCUGGGGAGUACGGUCGCAAGGCUGAAACUCAAAUGAAUUGACGGGG
This 393-nucleotide ribosomal RNA is filed under the name uncultured bacterium. RNAcentral describes it as "partial 16S ribosomal RNA". It matches the Rfam family "Bacterial small subunit ribosomal RNA", at positions 523 to 918 of the family's 1533-position model. The record is from RNAcentral.